CGUUGUGGGAMAAGCCUUCGGGUCGUAAACUCCUUUCCCCGGGAAGAAAAAUKUUUCGUGAAUAACGGGAUGACCUGACGGUACCGGGAGAAGAAGCCCUGGCUAACUCCGUGCCAGCAGCCGCGGUAAUACGGAGAGGGCUAACGUUGUUCGGAUUUACUGGGCGUAAAGGGUAUGUAGGUGUCUUGAUAAGCUCUGGGUGAAAUCUCCGCGCUCAACGCGGAAACGAAUCAGAGAACUAUCAGGAUUGAGUUCAGGAGAAGAGAGUGGAAUUCUCGGUGUAGCGGUGAAAUGCGUAGAUAUCGAGAAGAACACCAGCGGCGAAGGCGGCUCUCUAUUCUGAAACUGACACUCAAAUACGAAAGCGUGGGGAGCGAAUGGGAUUAGAUACCCCAGUAGUCCACGCUGUWAACGAUGURYACUUGGUGUAMYYSRUYUAASSRGUGUGYCGMAGCUAACGCGUUAAGURYACCGCCUGRGGAGUACGSYCGCAAGGGUGAAACUCAAAAGAAUUGACGGGGGCCCGCACAAGCAGUGGGGCAUGUGGUUUAAUUCGAUGAUACGCGAAGAACCUUACCCAGACUUGACAUGUAGUGGACAGUGGCAGAGAUGUCAUCUUCCGUAAGGACCGCUACACAGGUGYUGCAUGGCUGUCGUCAGCUCGUGCCGUGAGGUGUUMGGCUAAGUCCKMCAACGAGCGCAACCCUURUCAUUAGUUGCCAUMCWUUUGCGAAAGCAGGWGAGGAACUCUAGUGAGACUGCCYCGGUAACGGGGAGGAAGGUGGGGAUGACGUCAAGUCAUUAUGGCCCUUAUGCCYUGGGCUACACACGUGCUACAAUGGUCGGUACAGAGGGUUGCCAACCCGCGAGGGGGAGCUAAUCCCAGAAAGCCGGCCUCAGUUCGGAUUGGAGUCUGCAAUUCGACUCCAUGAAGUUGGAAUCGCUAGUAAUGGCGCAUCAGCUACGGCGCCGUGAAUACGUUCCCGGGCCUUGUACACACCGCCCGUCACAUCACGGAAGUUGCGUGUACCCGAAGUCGCUGAACCAACCCGCAAGGGAGGAAGGCGCCGA
RNAcentral lists this ribosomal RNA (1071 nucleotides) under uncultured bacterium. Its description in RNAcentral is "partial 16S ribosomal RNA". It matches the Rfam family "Bacterial small subunit ribosomal RNA", at positions 400 to 1459 of the family's 1533-position model. The record is from RNAcentral.